GAAAUUCCUUUAUGUGUAUCGUGUGAAUAUUGUAUCCAGCAAGAAAUCAUCCUUCAAGUAACUCGUUCUUUUUCUAUUUCUCAAGCUCUUCCUAUUGCCCUAGGUAUUCGGGAAAUACUAGAUGAAGAUUGUAGAACUGGAGUUGGCACAAGAGGUGGAACAGGAGCUUGCUAAGGAGUUGUCACUGGAUUUUAUGGCACAGAAGGUGGAACACCAGCUCGCAAAGGAGUUGUCAUGGGAUUUGACCCGUGAGCUGGUUCAGAAGCGUGUGAAGAUGAAGAAUUUAUUUCAUCCAGACUUGUACGACAACGUGGUGUAGAUGCUACAACCAAACCUGUAGUUUUUUAAUAAAACUAUUUGCCAGGUUUAAAGCCAGGGCAAAAUCCAGCACUCUUCGUAGUUUUUAUCUCAUGUUUUCUUAUGGUCUGUUUCAUUACAAAGGUAGACAAGGCAAACCAAUUUCAUGUAAGUUAGAAAAGAAAAAUCUUCCAAAAUCAUAGGAAUUUGUUUUCCACUCAAUUGGGCAAAAACAUGCUUUAAGCGUUUGUACUUUGAAAAGAAAAACCAAUUUCACAUAAGGUAAAAAAGGGAAAAAAAAAAUCAAAA
Molecule: long non-coding RNA, 606 nt
Filed under: Olea europaea (common olive)
Lineage: Eukaryota; Viridiplantae; Streptophyta; Magnoliopsida; Lamiales; Oleaceae
Description: long non-coding RNA (OEUR_LNC000713)
Source: RNAcentral